AGACGAUUUCAGCAAGAAAAGGUGACCGAAUAUGGGUUCACGUGUCAGCACGUGUACAAUAAACCAAAAGCUUGCAACGGCACGUGGCAAUCCGUGAAGAAGAUUCCGGCCACGAGACUCUAGAGUAGACUGGCCAACUUCUUAGGAAGCUGUUAGGACAGUAAAUGAUGUGGCACACUUCUCAAACACCAAUGGUUUGAGAA
RNAcentral lists this unclassified non-coding RNA (203 nucleotides) under Hevea brasiliensis (rubber tree). Lineage: Eukaryota; Viridiplantae; Streptophyta; Magnoliopsida; Malpighiales; Euphorbiaceae. The record is from RNAcentral.